AAGAGCUCGCUAGGCGGUUUGUCGCGUCUGCUGUGAAAGCCCGGGGCUCAACCCCGGGUCUGCAGUGGGUACGGGCAGACUAGAGUGCAGUAGGGGAGACUGGAAUUCCUGGUGUAGCGGUGAAAUGCGCAGAUAUCAGGAGGAACACCGAUGGCGAAGGCAGGUCUCUGGGCUGUUACUGACGCUGAGGAGCGAAAGCAUGGGGAGCGAACAGGAUUAGAUACCCUGGUAGUCCAUGCCGUAAACGUUGGGCACUAGGUGUGGGGGACAUUCCACGUUCUCCGCGCCGUAGCUAACGCAUUAAGUGCCCCGCCUGGGGAGUACGGCCGCAAGGCUAAAACUCAAAGGAAUUGACGGGGGCCCGCACAAGCGGCGGAGCAUGCGGAUUAAUUCGAUGCAACGCGAAGAACCUUACCAAGGCUUGACAUUCACCGGACCGCACUGGAGACAGUGCUUCCCUUCGGGGUCGGUGGACAGGUGGUGCAUGGUUGUCGUCAGCUCGUGUCGUGAGAUGUUGGGUUAAGUCCCGCAACGAGCGCAACCCUCGUUCUAUGUUGCCAGCACGUGAUGGUGGGGACUCAUAGGAGACUGCCGGGGUCAACUCGGAGGAAGGUGGAGAUGACGUCAAAUCAUCAUGCCCCUUAUGUCUUGGGCUUCACGCAUGCUACAAUGGCCGGUACAAAGGGUUGCGAUACUGUGAGGUGGAGCUAAUCCCAAAAAGCCGGUCUCAGUUCGGAUUGAGGUCUGCAACUCGACCUCAUGAAGUCGGAGUCGCUAGUAAUCGCAGAUCAGCAACGCUGCGGUGAAUACGUUCGCGGGUCUUGUACACACC
RNAcentral lists this ribosomal RNA (832 nucleotides) under Kocuria flava. RNAcentral describes it as "bacterial SSU rRNA". It matches the Rfam family "Bacterial small subunit ribosomal RNA", at positions 563 to 1391 of the family's 1533-position model. The record is from RNAcentral. Lineage: Bacteria; Bacillati; Actinomycetota; Actinomycetes; Micrococcales; Micrococcaceae.